Molecule: long non-coding RNA, 674 nt
Organism: Suricata suricatta (meerkat)
Lineage: Eukaryota; Metazoa; Chordata; Mammalia; Carnivora; Herpestidae
Exons: 2
Source: RefSeq, a predicted model, not a curated record
CUAAUGAGAUUAUGUGAACUCUCACAUUUGCGGAAUCGGAUUGUUGAGGACAUUCUGCAGCACCAAGCAGAUGGCAGAAAAGAUGAAAUUUACCCCUGCCCUUAAAAUUGACUGUGGCACUCCUCUGUGUUCUCGCGAAAAGCUGUAAAUGAAGAGCCAACCAAAAUUCAUCGGAAAUGAACACCUGCUGUGCCCCUACUCCACAGUUCAAAGUCACAAGAUUCCAUCAUCAAAUCCAAUCCAACCCAACAGCGACCCCUAUUGGCUUCAGCUUCAAAACGGACCACUUCUCACCGUCUCCACUGUCACACCUCCAGGAGACAUGUCCCCGCUGUCCUACAACUAGGACUGGCCCAGCUGCUCUGACCUUACCUGCAUGGCAAACAGAGGGAACUUUUUCCAGAAAACUGAUUUAACAAAGUAACUGCAAUCAGGUGGUUCCCCUGAUCAAAAUGUUCCAGUGGCUUCCAUUCCACUGAAGAUGACAUUUGUCUUACCAUGGCCUGCCUAGGUCUCCCUGACCUCACUCCUGGUUCUCCCUUCCACUGUAGCUCCUAGGGCUUGAGGAGCCACCCCUGAUCGUACUAUCUAAGAUGACAUGCCCCUCCUCACUGCCCUGCUUUAUUUCUCUUCAGAGUACCCAUCACCUCCUGAUAUUACUUUAUAUAUUAACA